CCUCCUUAUACGAUUUAGAACUUAUUUGUUCGUAGUGUCCACACAGAUGAUUGUUAGUUAGUUUUACCCUUUGGGUUUAACUGAUUAAUAUGCUCUUUAAAAAUUUGGAAAAGCUGAUAAUAAAAUUCGUAUGAAUAACAGUGUUAUUUGUACAGAGUUUUCAAAAGUAAAAAAGAAUGAUAGCAGUAUCAUUCAGUGCCAAUUUAAUCAUUUAUGAUUAAUUGGUAUCUACUUUAGUAUUCAAUAUUAACUUCUGGCGAAGUUAAACUGUCACAUAACAAGGACCCGUUUGGGUUGUAUGGUUAAGUGACUAAGCGUACACGGUGGAUGC
This 331-nucleotide unclassified non-coding RNA is filed under the name uncultured Pseudoalteromonas sp. RNAcentral's name for it is "partial 16S-23S ribosomal RNA intergenic spacer". The record is from RNAcentral. Lineage: Bacteria; Pseudomonadati; Pseudomonadota; Gammaproteobacteria; Alteromonadales; Pseudoalteromonadaceae.